GCCCGAAUGGCGGAAUGGUAGACGCUACGGACUUAAAAUCCGUUGUCCGCAAGGACGUGUGGGUUCGAUCCCCACUUCGGGCACCA
This 86-nucleotide transfer RNA is filed under the name Puniceicoccales bacterium. Its description in RNAcentral is "tRNA-Leu". It matches the Rfam family "tRNA". Rfam says of the family: Transfer RNA (tRNA) molecules are approximately 80 nucleotides in length. Lineage: Bacteria; Pseudomonadati; Verrucomicrobiota; Opitutia; Puniceicoccales. The record is from RNAcentral.